RNAcentral lists this ribosomal RNA (497 nucleotides) under uncultured bacterium. RNAcentral describes it as "partial 16S ribosomal RNA". It matches the Rfam family "Bacterial small subunit ribosomal RNA", at positions 28 to 507 of the family's 1533-position model. The record is from RNAcentral.
GAUGAACGCUGGCGGCGUGCCUAAUACAUGCAAGUCGAGCGAACAGACGCGGAGCUUGCUCCUCUGACGUUAGCGGCGCACGGGUGAGUAACACGUGUAUAACCUCCCUAUCAGACUGGGAUAACUUCGGGACACCGGCGCUAAUACCGGAUAAUAUAUUGAACCGCAUGGUUCAAUAGUGAAAGACGGUUUUGCUGUAACUUAUAGAUGGAUCCCGGCCGCAUUAGCUAGUUGGUAAGUUAACGGCUUAUCAAGGCAAGUAUGCGUGGACGACGUGAGGGGGUGAUCGGCCGCAUGGGAGCGGGGACACGGACCUGACUCCUACGGGAGGGAGCAGUAGGGAAUGUUCCGCAAAGGGCGAAAGUUUGACGGAGCAACGCCGCGUGAGUGAUGAAGGUCUUCGGAUCGUAAAACUCUGUUAUGAGGGAAGAACAAAUGUGUAAGUAACUAUGCACGUCUUGACGGUACCUAAUCAGAAAGCCACGGCUAACUACGUG